This 77-nucleotide transfer RNA is filed under the name Planctomycetota bacterium. RNAcentral describes it as "Planctomycetes bacterium tRNA-Val". It matches the Rfam family "tRNA". From Rfam's summary of the family: Transfer RNA (tRNA) molecules are approximately 80 nucleotides in length. Their secondary structure includes four short double-helical elements and three loops (D, anti-codon, and T loops). The record is from RNAcentral. Lineage: Bacteria; Pseudomonadati; Planctomycetota.
GCUCGCAUAGCUCAGUUGGGCAGAGCACUUGGCUUACAUCCAAGGUGUCGGUGGUUCGAAUCCAUCUGCGGGUACAA